UACGUAGGGUGCAAGCGUUGUCCGGAAUCACUGGGCGUAAAGCGCACGUAGGCGGAUUGCUAAGUCAGGGGUGAAAUCCUGGAGCUCAACUCCAGAACUGCCUUUGAUACUGGCGAUCUCGAGUCCGGGAGAGGUGAGUGGAACUGCGAGUGUAGAGGUGAAAUUCGUAGAUAUUCGCAAGAACACCAGUGGCGAAGGCGGCUCACUGGCCCGGUACUGACGCUGAGGUGCGAAAGCGUGGGGAGCAAACAGG
This 253-nucleotide ribosomal RNA is filed under the name uncultured bacterium. RNAcentral's name for it is "partial 16S ribosomal RNA". It matches the Rfam family "Bacterial small subunit ribosomal RNA", at positions 524 to 776 of the family's 1533-position model. The record is from RNAcentral.